CGGCGGGACGGGGUGGAGUAACGCGUGGGUAACCGUGCCUCAUACAGGGGGAUAACAGUUGGAAACGACUGCUAAUACCGCAUAAGCGCACAGUACCGCAUGGUACCGUGUGAAAAACUCCGGUGGUAUGAGAUGGACCCGCGUCUGAUUAGCUAGUUGGUGGGGUAACGGCCUACCAAGGCGACGAUCAGUAGCCGACCUGAGAGGGUGACCGGCCACAUUGGGACUGAGACACGGCCCAA
Molecule: ribosomal RNA, 242 nt
Filed under: uncultured bacterium
Lineage: Bacteria
Description: partial 16S ribosomal RNA
Rfam family: Bacterial small subunit ribosomal RNA
Source: RNAcentral